UACUCAUACACGAACACACUAUAGCAAUUAUUUUCAAUCGUAUACCCACAAUUUGCCGUGUCACCACGUCAAGUUUCAAGGCAGAUUUUUUUUAGACUCCAGGAAGCUAUAUGCCUAAUUCUAUCCAUUGUUUACUGCAUUGCAUUUGAUUUUCUAUAACAAAUAAAAUUGAAUUCUCCAUUGAUUGCGCCGACGCUCACAUUAUAAUUAUAUGCUAUUAUUAUUGACUAGUCAUAUAUUUUCUUGGCGGGUGGGGGCUGCACUGGUGGCGUUCUACGAAUUUGCGCCGCGUUUGUGCGGGUAAGCUUAAGUGCAGAAUUUUUUUUGCGCGUUAUGAAAACAAUGCACUGCAGGUAUUUUAAUUAAUGCAACGAGCUGUAUGAAAUAUCGGUCAAGGGGUUGGAAACGUCGUUAUAGAGAAUCCCGACGAUUUUUCUUUUGCGUGUGUGUAUUUGGAGUUGAUUCACAGUUUUAUUUCUUUAUUUUGGCUACAUUGCGCCAAUUGCGCUUCCAUAGAAUAAAGAAACGCGCUUCCACGCGCUUGCCGACUCGAUCGCAAGGGGACAGCCUGAUCAACAUCAAUAUCAGCAGCAAUGGCGGAUUUGCGCUUGCCAUGGCGCUUGCAAAGUUUUCAAUAGUUUUCGACUAUUAAGUGAUGCUUUUGCUAUUUUAACGUGUGGAGGUUCAUUGUACGUCUGUUUUUUCAAGUUUGGCAUGUGUUUUAACACAUGUGAAGGUGUAGUCUUUUCUUCUUCAGCGGAUAUUUGUACAAGACCCCGUUCACCGUCUAUCAGCUCUAGCUCGGCAAGAAUAAAGCGGUUCCUUAGAAGUGGUGGAGGUGCUGGGGUUCUGCAUACCAAGGACGUAUAAGGUCACAAAGCUGCACCCAGGUAGAGGCAGAAUCCAAAAAUGCUUGUGUACUUCAAGUAUAGCUGCACAUUACAGAAUCCGAGGCCCUCAAGAUUUAUCCGUAGCCCUCGUGUAGCCCACGAGUUCCAUAUUUUUUAUUGGGAUUGAAGAGUAACGUUUGUGCUGUAUCCCUCUAUUUCAGACUAAAUAAUGUGCAUGCAAAAUUAUAUCUUCAUUACUUUACACCAUUGCACCAAUAUCUGUUGUGCGUUGAUUUUCUGAUGUCCUUGCAUUUGCUAUAGCAAGGAUUUUUAAAAAUCAGCCACAAAAGAAAAAAAUAAAUGGUCAAGGAACGAAGUGGUGUGUAGCAGCUCCCUUUUUUUUAAUCGGCGGCAAGUUUUGCACUCGUGUGUUAGCAACACUGUUUCGCCAGUUGUGUACUUCAAAAGAAGUGUUACCUUUCUGCUUUGGAACUUUGUGGUUUUGUUCUGCCAGCUGCUUGACCAACACAAGCAAAAUGUACUUUGGAUAUUCCACAAAUUUAUUCUGUAUGCAUUUGGUACAAUAAAAUUUGUUUCAAGAAUGGACAAAUGCAGUGAUGGUUAAUUGAAAACUGCAACAUGCUGAGUUUCAUGCUUCAUUAAUUUUCUCAGCCCCAAAGAAAGCAUGCGAGGUUUGAAAAUGUAUCAUGUGACAUUAGUGCACUCGGUCUAGAGAACUGAUUAAUGCUGCACAUACAUUGAACAUGGUGGCCAUAACCAUCCCUCAUGAAUUGGCAUUCCCUGCCUAAACCACCUCACCAAGACAGCUUGUUAACAGCAAGAAAGCUGACGGGGCUUCCAAGAAUUUCUAUGCACUAUUUAUUACUAUCGCCCUACUGAAAUUGCUCCAUUGCUUUGCUGACAAUUGUCUUGACAAAAGUGGAAGCCGAAUCUGUUGAGGUCGAUCAGUUUUAUUUACAUACAACCUAUUAUAAAGUGGACCUUUCUUCGCCUCUUCAACUGUUCCCACAGCUGCUGCUGCCAUCUUGCACGCCACAUCGAGGAGGAGGGCAAUGUACAUGGUAGGUGCAUGGGAGGAUUUUCCAAGGAACUCUGGAAAGCUGUAAUCAGAUUGUGGGCAAAGUUAAAAACUUAAAUACAAAAAGGGUGUAGAGUAUUGUAACCUUGUACAUGUUGAUCACACCACAUGUUUCAGCUACAGCUAUAAGUGCCUUGUCUCAUCAACCAAGCUACAGUUCUUGCAAUGUUACACUUUGUGAUACUCAGUAUGAAUUGACAAGACUAGCUGCUAUUCUAGUGGUUGUGCAGGCCACAAGGGAACAGUGCCUGGCCUUUGUGCUUGUAUGUGUCAAUUUCUCUUUCAGUCUCGCCCAAGCCACACCAAAAUGUUAUCCACAAGUGUCGUGCCAAAAUGGCCUGGCGACAUUUCGUAUUAAGCCGUUUGACCCAUUUAUUGCACUGAUGCACACAGUGCAACCAAAUGAAGGAAAUGACAUCGCCUAGGUGAUUAUUAAAUUACCCUUCUAAAAUACCACAAGAGGAAUUUUGCUGUGGCAAGAGCCUUAGCAAAACCAUAAGAGACACAAAAAUGAAGGAAAAGCGACACCUUCAAGUUCCCGCACCGACUCACCACGAGAAGCACGAAUUUCGGCAGUGUCUGCUUGAGCUUAGUUAUUUGGAGAUACAUGCAGUUGAAUGCUUUUACACGCAUUGAGAUGCCCCACUAUACUAGCUUGCCUUUUAUGGCUAUAGAAAGUUGUAUAGUGCCAUAAGUCUGCCUAUUCUUCCGAUUGGAAUCUAUAUUGAAGCUGCUUUGAGCAACGGGCGGUAUUCUAUUUCAGCGCUAAUGAUACAUUGACAGUAGUGUGCCUGGAAGGAAUAGACAAAAGCAUUGCAGAAGCUGCAGCACUUUGUGCUCGCUGAAUGAUCAUACGAGAAGGUAAAGAUGCCAUCAGAAAGCAUCCUUCGUAUAGAGUCUCUUUAAAAGAAAAAUACUACAUCUAGACAUGGUGACAGUUGUGGUGGCAAACUAAAAAUAUUAUGAUAGUUCAAGGUGUGGUAUGGCAUGUUUAUGCUAUUUCUGAAAAAAUAAACACGGCAAGUGUGUCCAUGCCAACAAUUGAGGCAGGAUGUGCAGAUGCAAAGCUGCAAUACAGCACCACGGCGUCAAAAGGACAGUAUGCAAGUGGUGGUCCAGCAUCAAAACUUCAAUGUCCCUACACUACAACACUGGGAGGCCAUGCUGCAUGACAGAAGCCUGUGUGGCCAGCAGGCGCUGCUCUGUCGGGCACAGGACGUGGCAGCAACUAUUUCUCCUAAGGAUUCAAUAAACGGAUUUCUCUACCUCA
Long non-coding RNA from Dermacentor andersoni, 3199 nucleotides. RefSeq lists it as uncharacterized. Lineage: Eukaryota; Metazoa; Arthropoda; Arachnida; Ixodida; Ixodidae. The record is from RefSeq and is a predicted model, not a curated record.